UAUGGCCUGUUGUAAAGAAUGAAGCUUGUGUACAUGAUUCCUAUCUCUGCAGUUCCUAUCCUGCCCCUAACAAUAGACCUUGGCCCACACAGAGAAAGAAUGAGACUGGAAACUUUGUUGGAUCUAUUGGUGAUAUGCAGAUAUCACAAACUUGUCCAGAGAAUUGUAGACCAAAAGAUCAUUUGGACUGGACAACUUGCUGAUCAAGAUCAUUUCAUCUAGACACCUUGCUGAUCAAGAUCAUUUCAUCUGGACAACUUGCUGAUCAAGAUAAUUUCAUCUAGACAACUUGCUGAUCAGGAUCAUUUCAUGUAGACAACUUGCUGAUCAAGAUAAUUUCAUCUAGACAACUUGAUGAUCAAGAUCAUUUCAUCAAGACAACUUGCUGAUCGAGAUCAUUUCAUCUGGACAACUUGUUGAUCAAGAUAAUUUCAUCUAGACAACUUGCUGAUCAAGAUAAUUUCAUCUAGACAACUUGCUGAUCGAGAUCAUUUUAUGUAGACAACUUGUUGAUCAAGAUAAUUUCAUCUAGACAACUUGCUGAUCAAGAUAAUUUCAUGUAGACAACUUGAUGAUCAAGAUCAUUUCAUGUAGACAACUUGCUGAUCAAGAUAAUUUCAUCUAGACAACUUGAUGAUCAAGAUCAUUUCAUGUAGACAACUUGUUGAUCGAGAUCAUUUCAUCUGGCCAUCUUGCUGAUCAAGAUAAUUUCAUCUAGACAACUUGCUGAUCAAGAUAAUUUCAUCUAGACAACUUGAUGAUCAAGAUAAUUUCAUCUAGACAACUUGAUGAUCAAGAUCAUUUCAUGUAUACAACUUGCUGAUCAAGAUAAUUUCAUCUAGACAACUUGAUGAUCGAGAUCAUUUUAUCUGGACAACUUGAUGAUCGAGAUCAUUUCAUGUAAACAACUUGCUGAUCAAGAUAAUUUCAUCUAGACAACUUGAUGAUCAAGAUCAUUUCAUGUAGACAACUUGCUGAUCAAGAUAAUUUCAUCUAGACAACUUGAUGAUCAAGAUCAUUUCAUCUAAACAACUUACUUAUCAAAAUCAUUCCCAGUGGACAACUUGUUGAUCACAAUAUCUGAUCAAGAUCAUUUUAUCUAGACAACCUUCUGAUCAAACGCAUAUAAACUGGAAACCCUUCUGAUCAAACGCAUAUAAACUGGAAACCCUUCUGAUCAAACGCAUAUAAACUGGAAACCCUUCUGAUCAAAAUCAUUUCAUCUCAACAACCUACGGAUCAAAACCAUUCCUACUGGACAAUUUGAUGAUCAAAAUCAUUUCAACUGAACAUGCCAUAUUCUGGACAGCUUAGGCAUUUGCACACCUGACCACAAAGUAAAAUGGUGCCUCAUUUAUGCAUAGUAUACAUACAAGCACUAGAUAACCCUGUAGUGCUUGUGAAUCCCA
This is a long non-coding RNA of Eurytemora carolleeae, 1409 nucleotides long. RefSeq lists it as uncharacterized. The transcript is spliced from 2 exons. The record is from RefSeq and is a predicted model, not a curated record. Lineage: Eukaryota; Metazoa; Arthropoda; Copepoda; Calanoida; Temoridae.